Non-coding RNA from Miniopterus natalensis, 1095 nucleotides. Lineage: Eukaryota; Metazoa; Chordata; Mammalia; Chiroptera; Miniopteridae. The record is from RefSeq and is a predicted model, not a curated record.
GGGGGGCGGGAGGAGGAGGCAGUACCUGGGGUGUGAGCAGGCCUGAGGGGCCGGGAUCCUUGCAAAAACCUCCGGAUCGGCGACUCUGGAGCGAGAAUGCGAAGUCGGCCCAGUGAGAUUUCCAAAUCGCCUCAGAAUCUGCCCCCUCAGCUGGACAGUGAGCAGCCUGGGCAGGUCCCGGAUCCUGAGCUGGUCCUGGGUGGUGUGCCUCAGGUGCCACGGUUCAGGCUGAUUAUGCAUGAUACCCCUGAAGACAGGUGAGUGGACAGUAUGUCUGGGGAGCUUCCUCUGGCUGCUGGUGGAAGGGGAGACAGAGAGAUUUGAACCUCGCACCUGAAGAUGGAGGGGGGCACAUGCAAGGACCAAAGAGUAGCAACAAGGAGCUGAGAAGGCCCCCUGGCUGACAGGUAACAGGGACCCAGUCCUAUAACCAAAAGGAACUGAAUCUUGCCAACAACAGGAAUGAGCUUGGAAGAGGACUCCAAGUGCCAGGUGAGGUCACAACAGGUAGAAACUUUGAUUUUAGCCUUGUAAAGUGCUGAGCAGAGAACCCAGCCCCACCACCCUGGACUUCUGCCCUCAGACCUGUGAGAGAAUAAAGCCUCAGUUCUAAGGCACUGAGUGGUUGUAUGUUACAAGCGUGCUGAUAUCUGGAUGCAUUCACUGAACUGAAAACAAAGGUGGAUUGCUGGUCAGGACAGACUGGCAGAGAAAAGGGGUCCAGGAGGACUUGGAGUGGCCGAUGUCCAAAGCAGAGGAAGUAGGUGCUGGACAAAUGUUGGCCACUGGGGCUGGAACUGCAGGGAGACCUGGGUCCCAGAUUUGGGUGAAGAUCUGCAGAGGGGCCUUUAUCUCCAGACACUGUGCCUAUACCAGAAUCACUGAUUCCAUGAGGUGUGAUGGGAUGGAGAAAGCCGGUGACAUUGUCACUGCCCAAGCCCAGCUAUACCCCCUGGGGCUGGGGUCUGCCAGUAGCUUGGGCCUCUCUCAAAUGUGUGCCCACCAGUGGAGCAGUGAGGAAUGAACAGGACUCACCUGUGAGUGCUCUGGCUUGUGAACUUUAAAAAAAAAAUUAUUAAAAUUUUUUUAUCUUUA